UCAACGGCAGCGGUAUAAAUGGUCCUCAC
RNAcentral lists this non-coding RNA (29 nucleotides) under Bombyx mori (domestic silkworm). The record is from RNAcentral. Lineage: Eukaryota; Metazoa; Arthropoda; Insecta; Lepidoptera; Bombycidae.